This is a non-coding RNA of Acanthosepion pharaonis, 112 nucleotides long. Lineage: Eukaryota; Metazoa; Mollusca; Cephalopoda; Sepiida; Sepiidae. The record is from the annotation of a GenBank genome assembly.
UUACGGUCAUACCACAUUGAAAUAUCGGCUCUCGUACGAUCACCGAAGUUAAGCAACGACUAAUCUGGUUAAUAUCAAGAUGGGUGACCGCUUGGGUAUAUCAGGUGCUAUA